Poecilia latipinna (sailfin molly) is the source of this 802-nucleotide long non-coding RNA. RefSeq lists it as uncharacterized. The record is from RefSeq and is a predicted model, not a curated record. The transcript is spliced from 3 exons. Lineage: Eukaryota; Metazoa; Chordata; Actinopteri; Cyprinodontiformes; Poeciliidae.
UUUUUCGCUUUAGGCAUAAACUAUACUAUGUUAUUGUGACCCUCACAAAGUGUGGUCACAUUUGUUUGGUUUAAUUGUGAUCUUAAUUUAGGAUUUGACCCCGUUUUAAAAUUUGUAAAUCAAUGUCACGCAGUAGCAUAAAUGCGCCGCUAGAUGGCAGAAGUGGGACAUUACGGGACUGACGGUGCAACAUUUCUGUGUCGAAAAAAAAGCUCUCCUCCAUUCGGAUGAGAGCUACCAGCGCAGCAACACCGUCUCCUGUGACUCACUUCUUUCUUCUGUUAAAACAGUGAGGGGGGAGAGGCUGAACAUUGGUCAUUUGACCUCAGAGAGUGCAUUGUGGUUUAAAUCUGUCAUAAACUCACACCACUAACCAUCCGGCGGUUAUUUAGGACACCAAGUAUCACAAAGCUGCAAACCGCAUGUCUAAAAGUUCUUCCUUCCUUCACACCCACAGGCCAUGUGACCCGGUCAGCUCCGUCACAGAGACACAGAGAAACGUCUGGGCUUCCUUCCAUCCUUCAGAUGGCGUGGCCGAGCGCCAAGCCAUCCAAGGCUCAAACGCUUCUGCUGUCCAGGAAGAGUGACUCUUCAGACUUUCUCCUCUGUAUCAGUUGAUUUCCUGCUCUCUGUUAUCGCCACAGCAUGAGGAGCUGAGUCGCCUUACACACACGCACACAACUAACCACCAGGGCUCUUAAUUAAAGUCAUAGAGAACUGCUGUGUGUGGAAUUACGGCAUGAGUGAUAAAGACAUUCAUUUUCACACCAAAACUUGAGUCACUGCACCCUGCUAACCAAAA